AUGCUAGAGAAUAGUUCUGGUUCUUGCAUCUCACCAAGAGAAUAUUAUUGUUUCAAGCUGCAAAUUAGACCUGGGAAGUUUAACAUCUUACUCUUUGGAAGGCGAUUGACUCAACAAUAUAUAGUUGAUAUGUACAUUAAGAUUGAAUCAAUAAGAUUGGCAUUCUUGUCAAAGCCAUCAACUCAGGUUCUCAUCAGAGCAGAUUUGUAUCAAGGAUUGGUCGAUAGCAUUGUUGCCGGUGAAACACGUGGGUGCAUGACAGGUAGGCGCAUUGUGCUUCCCCCAUCAUUUAUCGGAGGACCAAGAGAUAUGCGUCGAAGAUAUCUGGAUGCAAUGGCUUUGGUCCAACGGUUUGGGAAACCAGACAUAUUCCUUACAAUGACUUGCAACCCACAUUGGGAAGAGAUAACUAGAGAACUAGCAGAAGGUCAAUCACCACAAGACAGGCCGGACUUGGUAGCACGAGUCUUCAAGGCAAAAUUGGAGGAUUUAAAGGAUCUUUUGUUUAAGAAGAAAUUCUUUGGUGAAGUUGCUGCACAUGUGCACGUAAUUGAAUUUCAGAAAAGAGGUCUACCACAUGCACAUUUUUUAAUAAUUCUGAAAUCAAACUACAAGAUAACUAAUCCGGACCAAUAUGAUGAGAUAAUAUCAGCUGAAAUUCCUGAUAAUGAUAAAUAUCCUAUGCUGCAUGAUUUAGUUAUUAAGCACAUGAUGCACGGCCCAUGUGGAGUUCUCAACAUAAAUAAUCCUUGCAUGAAAAAUGGAAGUUGUCGGUAUCAUUAUCCUCGACAUUUCGCAGAGACUACACAACAAGGAGAGGACUCUUAUCCAAUUUAUAGGCGCAGGAAUGACGGCCGUCGAGUGCGCAUCAGGGGUGCAGUUUCGGAUAAUAGAUGGGUUGUCCCAUACAAUCCCUAUUUACUUAUUCGAUACAAUUGCCAUAUAAAUAUUGAAGUUUGCUCUAGCGUCAAGGUUGUGAAAUAUUUAUUCAAAUACAUCUACAAAGGUCAUGAUCGUGCCUCCAUUGUCAUCGAAGCCGCAGAAGAUGAUGCAGUUAUUAAUGAAAUUCAUGAGUAUAGAGAUGCAAGGUUUAUUUCACCUCCGGAAGCAAUCUAG
This 1116-nucleotide ribosomal RNA is filed under the name Triticum aestivum (bread wheat). RNAcentral's name for it is "partial small subunit ribosomal RNA". The record is from RNAcentral. Lineage: Eukaryota; Viridiplantae; Streptophyta; Magnoliopsida; Poales; Poaceae.